Small nuclear RNA from Pygocentrus nattereri (red-bellied piranha), 100 nucleotides. The record is from Ensembl. NCBI's taxonomy places the organism in Eukaryota, Metazoa, Chordata, Actinopteri, Characiformes, Serrasalmidae.
AUACUAUACUACGGCAGCACAUAUACUAAAAUUGGAUCGAUACAGAGAAGACUAGCAUGGCCCCUGCGACACACAAAUCCGUGAUGCGCUCCAUGACUGA